This 459-nucleotide ribosomal RNA is filed under the name uncultured bacterium. RNAcentral describes it as "SSU rRNA". It matches the Rfam family "Bacterial small subunit ribosomal RNA", at positions 26 to 518 of the family's 1533-position model. The record is from RNAcentral.
AGAAUCAACGCUGGCGGCGUGCCUAACACAUGCAAGUCGCACGAGAAAGGGGAGCAAUCCCUGAGUACAGUGGCGCACGGGUGAGUAACACGUGAAUAAUCUACCUCCGAGUGGGGAAUAACUGAGAGAAAUCUUAGCUAAUACCGCAUAAUACCCACGGGUCAAAGCAGUAAUGCGCUUGGAGAGGAGUUCGCGGCAGAUUAGUUAGUUGGCGGGGUAAUGGCCCACCAAGACGAUGAUCUGUAUCCGGCCUGAGAGGGCGCACGGACACACUGGAACUGAAACACGGUCCAGACUCCUACGGGAGGCAGCAGUGGGGAAUUUUGCGCAAUGGGGGAAACCCUGACGCAGCAACGCCGCGUGGAGGAUGAAGCCCCUUGGGGUGUAAACUCCUUUCGAUCGGGAAGAUAAUGACGGUACCGAUAUAAGAAGCCCGGCUAACUUCGUGCCAGCAGCCGC